Molecule: ribosomal RNA, 274 nt
Filed under: uncultured prokaryote
Description: partial 16S ribosomal RNA
Rfam family: Bacterial small subunit ribosomal RNA
Source: RNAcentral
UACGGAGGAUGCGAGCGUUAUCCGGAUUUAUUGGGUUUAAAGGGUGCGUAGGCGGCCGAGUAAGUCAGCGGUGAAAUUUUGCGGCUCAACCGUAAAAGUGCCUUCGAUACUGGUUUUCUUGAGUGUAGAUGAAGUAGGCGGAAUUUGUGGUGUAGCGGUGAAAUGCUUAGAUAUCACGAGGAACUCCGAUUGCGCAGGCAGCUUACUAAACUACUACUGACGCUCAGGCACGAAGGCGUGGGGAUCAAACAGGAUUAGAUACCCCGUACGUCCU